GACGAACGCUGGCGGCGUGCUUAACACAUGCAAGUCGAACGGAAAGGCCCUGCUUUUGUGGGGUGCUCGAGUGGCGAACGGGUGAGUAACAUGUGAGUAACCUGCCCUUGACUUUGGGAUAACUUCAGGAAACUGGGGCUAAUACCGGAUAGGAGCUCCUGCUGCAUGGUGGGGGUUGGAAAGUUUCGGCGGUUGGGGAUGGACUCGCGGCUUAUCAGCUUGUUGGUGGGGUAGUGACUUACCAAGGCUUUGACGGGUAGCCGGCCUGAGAGGGUGACCGGCCACAUUGGGACUGAGAUACGGCCCAGACUCCUACGGGAGGCAGCAGUGGGGAAUAUUGCACAAUGGGCGGAAGCCUGAUGCAGCAACGCCGCGUGCGGGAUGACGGCCUUCGGGUUGUAAACCGCUUUCGCCUGUGACGAAGCGUGAGUGACGGUAAUGGGUAAAGAAGCACCGGCUAACUACGUG
RNAcentral lists this ribosomal RNA (468 nucleotides) under uncultured bacterium. RNAcentral describes it as "partial 16S ribosomal RNA". It matches the Rfam family "Bacterial small subunit ribosomal RNA", at positions 28 to 507 of the family's 1533-position model. The record is from RNAcentral.